This is a long non-coding RNA of Lolium perenne, 1134 nucleotides long. RefSeq lists it as uncharacterized. The record is from RefSeq and is a predicted model, not a curated record. NCBI's taxonomy places the organism in Eukaryota, Viridiplantae, Streptophyta, Magnoliopsida, Poales, Poaceae.
UCGUGUGUAAAGAAACAAUACUCUCUUCUCCUUCGCUUGUCGGCCUGGCUGCUGGGUGCCGCCGUCGAUCUGCCGACGGGAAGCUCCAGCGCCACAACCGCCGAUCUCCCGGAGGGAAGCUCCGGCACCACCGUCCGCCUUGCCCCCUCCCGCUGGCAUGUACACUCCAUUAACUCGCCCCCUUGGACUUGCUCCCGAUCCAAGAUCCCACGGCGCCGCCCUCCUCACUGGACAAGGCGGCGGAGAUUGUCGUGCAUCGCGGCUGCUCCCGGCGCCGAAGCACCUCUGUCCGCCGCCAGGGCCGCGUGCGCGCCCGUACCUCCGCUCGGCGGCGGCACACAACGACGCGGUGGCUAGAGCGGUGGUGCUGGCCCUCCUGUCGGCGGCGGUGACGGUGGGCUGACGCGAAAGAACAAGCGCGUAGCCGGCGACGUCGAAAAGGGCGCGCCGAGAAGCUGGGGCAGGUGCGGCAACCGAACGUGGUGGACAAGGAGGAGCGUAAUGAAUUUUCUAUUGGGCUGAAUGAGACAUCAAAUAGUGUCUGAACAAACUGAUGACCAGUAGCAACAAAAUCUUAGUAAUACAUGCUCACUUCUAUCAGCUCUAUCUCUGUUUUCUUUUGUUAUUACUUUGGAACCUGCAUCAUACUGCAGCGUAAUGAACCUCCAGAAAGGCAGUGCAAGUAUUUUAUCUCAGGGGUUUUGCACAGUUAUUCUCGUCGCCUUUUAUGUUUUGCACAAGAUGGAUGGCAUGUGAUGUGAAUCCAUGCAAGUAACAACAGUGAAAUCCUUUUCUUUCAUGAAAUCCUUUUCCAGGAACUAGCAAAGAAACUUUCCUGGACACCGUAGCGGAGAUCAUGGACCGCCACCUUGAUGAAAUGUUGUCAAAGCUCCACCUUGUCAAUUCGAUCGUAUCGACUUGUAAAUAUUAGUUUCCUUAUUAGUUUUCACUAAAUAAGAAGAAUGUUGUCGUUUGGACUUUGAAGACAUUGGAUAAAUUUCACAUGAACUGUUGCUGUGAAUUUGAUGUGACAAGAAAAGCUUAAGUAGAAUAGCUGAUCCAUUUGAUUGUAUCCACUUGUAUAUAUUAGUUGUCACUUCAUGAUGAUAGAAAUGGGGAUGUUUGAACUUUGAA